Molecule: ribosomal RNA, 480 nt
Filed under: Akysis prashadi
Lineage: Eukaryota; Metazoa; Chordata; Actinopteri; Siluriformes; Akysidae
Description: partial 16S ribosomal RNA
Rfam family: Bacterial large subunit ribosomal RNA
Source: RNAcentral
GGUAUUUUGACCGUGCGAAGGUAGCGCAAUCACUUGUCUUUUAAAUGAAGACCUGUAUGAAUGGUGGAACGAGGGCUUAACUGUCUCCCCUUUCUAGUCAAUGAAAUUGAUCUGCCCGUGCAGAAGCGGACAUAAAAAUAUAAGACGAGAAGACCCUUUGGAGCUUAAGACAAAAAUCACCUAUGUCAAGAACCAAAAGUUAAACUAAAUAGUAAUUGAUUAUAGUCUUCGGUUGGGGCGACCACGGGAGAAAAUAAAGCUCCCACGAAGAAUGGGUUAAUCCUAAAAUCAAGAGAGACACCUCUAAAUAUCAGAACCUCUGACUAUAAAGAUCCGGCUCAUCGCCGAUCAACGGACCAAGUUACCCUAGGGAUAACAGCGCAAUCCCCUUUCAGAGUCCCUAUCGACAAGGGGGUUUACGACCUCGAUGUUGGAUCAGGACAUCCUAAUGGUGCAGCCGCUAUUAAGGGUUCGUUUGUU